CCGCGACUAGCGGGUGCCUGGAAGCUGUCGGCGCCAUGGCGAGGAAGGGAAGGAGUGAGGGCAGCGCAGCGGGGGAGCGCCGGCCCUGGUCCUGCUGCUCGGGGCCUACCGGCUGCAGUGCAGGGUUUGUUUAUAGGCGUGUUUCACCUAUAAAUCAUGUUAUUGACGGUAGCGUUGUGCUGGAAAAGGCUCUCCUCCGUGCUCUUAAAACGCGUGUUGCGGGUGAGGAGGGAUUUUUGGAAGGGUCUGGAACACCUGCGGGAGCUGGGGCUGUUCAGCCGGGAGAAGAUGAGGCUUGGGAAGGACCUUCCCGUUCUCGACAGCUCUCUCAAAGGAGCUUGUGGCCAGAGAAACAAGAACAGAUGGAUACUUCCUUAACACCUGCUGCUGUGGGAGUCUUCUGAAACACUUGCAAACUCUGCAGCCCCUGAAGAGUUCAUGCCGAGGCAGAUUUAUCCUGAAGGACUGCAGUCCGUGGAAGGGCACGUGCUGGAGCAGAGGAAAAGUAAGUGGAUGAAGGAGUGAGAAAGAGGAGCUCUUAUGGACUGGUUGCAAUCCUCAUUUUAUUUCUGCACCAGGCUUGGGGCAGAAGCGAGUUGGUAAUGAAAGAAUGAUGUGGAUUCUGGGAAAAGAGGGGGUUGAGGGUGGUGGGAAAGUGCUUCAGUCUUUGUUUCUUUGUCUUAUCAUCUUACUCUAUUUUAACUCUUAUUAUUAAUUAAUUUUGUCCCAGUCAAGUCUGUUUUACCCACAACAGUAAUUGGUGAGCAAUCUCCUUGCCCUCAUCUUAACCCAUGAGUUGUUUUCUUAUUUUUUUAUCCUGUCCCACUGAGGAAGAGCAGGGAGAGAGCUGCUGGGUAGGAGAUUGGUAGCCAUAGCUAAUCUACCAUACCAGUGUAUCAUCUCUGUAGCAUCUCUAAUUUGAUUUGUAUCAAAUGAGAGUAUUCAAAAAGUCAUAGUUCUAGAAAAAAUAUGUGCAUGUAAUUUCAUGUUCUCAAGCUAAACAUAUGAAAGAUUUCACUUGCCACUUUGUGGGUAAAACUGGACAUUCCAGCAAAAGACACGUAUAUACGCCUUAUAAUUUUUUAAUUUCUCAACUGUUAUCCUUAGUAGUUUUCUUAAUUUCUCAAUUUCUCUCUUAAUUUCUCUUAAAUUCUCUUAAUCUCUCUUAAUUUUUUUAAUUACAGAGGGGGGGGAUUAAUUCAAAUUACCUGAAUAACUUUUGAAAACUAAUUCCUAUUCUUCCUACAUGUUCAAUCUGUAAGAUGUAUGCACAAAGUAGCAUUUGUCAAGAUGCGAAUACAUAACCAUAAUGACGUUAAUGUCUUAUCCAGAAUUCCCUGCUGGAUAAACACUGCUGGGGCUCAUACUUGCCAAGCAGAGCCAAGGCCAUCUUCUGUACCUUCCUGUUACUUUCUCCAGCUCAGGCUCUCUGCCAUUAUCUCCUCCAAUCAAGCAUUAUUACAUAUGUGGCUUCAGCUGGUGUUCUGACAAUUCAAGACAUCCGAUAUUGACAAUAUUGACAGUGCUCUGAAAUCUGGAAAUCAGUAUGUAAGAGGUGGUAUGGUUGAACUUUGCAACCAGUAUAAACUGUAUCCAAAUAAUACAAGGAAUGCUGCAAAUGGUAUUAGACACUUCAACAUCUAUAUUAUGUACCUUUAAACAUUCCAAAAUAUGGAAGUGUUUCUAAUGGAUCUUGCAGUAUUCAGUCAAGUGGAUUGCCCCUGUAGAGGUUAUGAACACAUCUAAUCCAUGAAACUCAGAUUCCUCACUGACCUGAGUCUUCCCUUGUGAAGACUAUUUGAGCUAGCAGAUCUAAAAUGUGCUUAAUAUAUUUGUAAUUUUAUCCUGAGUGAAGAAUCAACUCAAUUUCAGAAUGGCAUUGAAAAAAAAUGGCAACUGAAAAUCUGCUAAGAUGUUUUUUAUCAAAACAGUUGGGAAUUAUACUUCUUAAACUGCCUGUGACUGUUUAUAAGAUUUAUUUUUUUUAAAGCAGUUGCUCUAUAUUUGUGACAGUGGCUCAUCUAUUGCUACAAACGAAAGCCAAAAUUUCAACAUAAUGCUAAAAAUGGAAUUAAAGUUUGUAGCUGAGCUUCUUCAAAAGAAUUCUGAAUUUGGGGUUAGAGUACUACCAUGUCUUUUUAUUUCAUGUUUAAUAACUAAUUUUUGCCUGUGAGAGUCUCCUCUUUCUGAAACUUGGCAUGACAUAACAUGUUAUUGAUCUAUAUUGUACACUCAAGUCUUGAUAUUGUCAGUUGUCCCAAGUGCCAUAAAAACAUAAGGAAGGCAAAUAUCUCAGCUGAAAAGCUUAAAUUUAAUUUUGUCACAACUCAGAUGUUAUGUGGGAAGCUGAAUGGCUUAUAAUUUUUAGGUCUUUAACUGAUAAAGGACCACAGAUUUUAGGAAGCUGAUGUGGUUAGCAAGGCCAGAUAUUUCAUCUAAGCCAAACAAGAAAGAAGUGCAAUUUCUGACUGUUUUACUAAUGGCAGAGCGCAAUGGAACCUUAGGAGUAGGAUAGUUCAGUGGAGGGGACCUGUAAGACAAUCAUCCAGUCCAGCUGACUGACCAGUUCAGGAUUCAUCAAAAGUUAAAGCAUGUUAUUAAGGGUAUCCAAACUGACAGGCUUGGGGCAUUGACCACUUAUCUAGGAAGCCUGUUCCAGUGUUUGACCACCCAGUUAUGAAACGCUUCCUAAUCCAGUCUGAACCUCCUAUGGUGCAGGCUGAAACUAUUCCCUUCUGUCCUAUCCCUGGGUCUGAGUGAGAAGCCAUCAGAAGAUCCAUCUCCACUUCCCCUCCUCAGGAAGCUACCCCAGAGAGCAAUGAGGUCACCUCUCAGCCUCCUUCAUUCCAAACCAGACAAAUCCAAAGUCCUCAGCUGCUCCUCAUAGGACUUGUGUUCUAAAUUCAGAUUAAGUGUUAAUAGAUGACCAAAGUUGAAACUACUAUGUGUGCAUGUGCGUAUACCAGAAAGAAAACACAGGAAACAGCAAGAGAAUUAAGUCAGAGAGCAAUCCAAAGAAGAGAAUUCAGAGUAAAAUGUUAUCAGAUGAAAGAUGUGUCUCCUGUUUCUUAUUUUCUACCAUAUUCAGGAAAAUAGGAUUCCAUGUACAUUUUUCAAAAAUAAACAAGAUUACAACAAAGACAUAUCUGAUUGCAAAGUCAAUUUCAGAGGAAAAUAAAACAGUCUGAAAGGUCUCAAACUGCUUAACUUCUCAAGCUAUAUCUCUGUGGAAUUGUGUCUUGCUAUUCUUCUUAUUAUAGACCUGUAAGAGAAAAGACGGGUGUUUUUUCCAAAAUGUUCUAGUUUGUGAGUUACAAACUAAAGGAAAAACAAAAAUAUAUUUGUGAGGCAAUGAAGGAUUAUUGCACAUUCAUUUAAAGCUAAAACAUACGGUUUGUAAUUUAAAAGUAAAUCAUUCUGUAUUUAAAUGUUAUAUUUUUUCUUGUGAAGUGACUCACCCAAGCAAAACAACAAUGCUGAUUUGUUAUAAGAAAGCCAUUUUGCCAUACAGAAAUGGAAUAUUUUUCAGUUAUAGUUAUUUUGAUCAUUCUGUGAUAUAGCUAUUUCUUCUAACAUUAUUAUUUUUAACUGUUAAAAAUGAUCUUGUCAGUAGUAAAGGAAUAGAACAAC
This is an RNA transcript of Catharus ustulatus (Swainson's thrush), 3630 nucleotides long. RefSeq lists it as uncharacterized. NCBI's taxonomy places the organism in Eukaryota, Metazoa, Chordata, Aves, Passeriformes, Turdidae. The record is from RefSeq and is a predicted model, not a curated record. The transcript has 3 exons.